This 48-nucleotide ribosomal RNA is filed under the name Simulium oyapockense. Its description in RNAcentral is "partial 28S ribosomal RNA". Lineage: Eukaryota; Metazoa; Arthropoda; Insecta; Diptera; Simuliidae. The record is from RNAcentral.
CUCAUGUGAGACUACCCCCUGAAUUUAAGCAUAUCAAUAAGCGGAGGA